Molecule: long non-coding RNA, 276 nt
Organism: Gekko japonicus
Lineage: Eukaryota; Metazoa; Chordata; Lepidosauria; Squamata; Gekkonidae
Exons: 3
Source: RefSeq, a predicted model, not a curated record
UCUGAGUCCUCCCUGGCUCAUCCUCUCUUUUCUUUUACCAUGAAGGCACUCCUGAGCAUCUGCCUCUUUGGUGGCCUCCUUUCUCCAGGGGCACUGAUGAGCUGUCAUCACUGUUUUGGAGAGGACUGUGCAAAACCAGGAAUUCAAGAGUGUGACGCUGACCAAGAGGCCUGUGUUUCAGUAGUGCUUGAAACCACACUAGGUAGCUCACUGAUGCCGAAGUACCACGUGACUUUCAUGCAAUGUUCUCCAGCUAGUUUCUGCUUGAACAACUAC